RNAcentral lists this transfer RNA (405 nucleotides) under Phormidium cf. bekesiense UCFM_PB. Its description in RNAcentral is "partial 16S-23S ribosomal RNA intergenic spacer". The stretch from base 120 to 193 matches the Rfam family "tRNA". Lineage: Bacteria; Bacillati; Cyanobacteriota; Cyanophyceae; Oscillatoriales; Oscillatoriaceae. The record is from RNAcentral.
UAGGGAGACCUACUUCUGGUGGGAGUGACUGAGCGACUAGCUCAUCUCCAACUGGAAGUCAUCCCAAGGUCGUGCGAGAUUGGUAGUAGAAAGCUUUCAAACUAGAUUUGGUUCGUUUUGGGCUAUUAGCUCAGGUGGUUAGAGCGCACCCCUGAUAAGGGUGAGGUCCCUGGUUCGAGUCCAGGAUGGCCCAUGCCCAUAGCCAGUCAAAGAACCGGAAAAAUUCAGCACCGACACCUAAGCUUUCUGAGCUGCGUGAGAAUGCUGGAAUUAAGUUCCAGUGAGAACCUUGAAAACUGCAUAGUAAGAGAAAGAAAAGCAGGUAGAACUGCUGACACUCAUUUCGAGUGUGAGCAGUGAAUCCAAAAAGUAACCAAUGUGGUCAAGCUACAAAGGGCUAACGGA